Molecule: ribosomal RNA, 901 nt
Filed under: uncultured Planctomycetota bacterium
Lineage: Bacteria; Pseudomonadati; Planctomycetota
Description: bacterial SSU rRNA
Rfam family: Bacterial small subunit ribosomal RNA
Source: RNAcentral
UUCGCAAUGCCCGAAAGGGUGACSAAGCGACGCCGCGUGAGUGAGGAAGGCCUUCGGGUUGUAAAGCUCUGUCAGGAGUUAAGAAAUGUAAGUGUGCUAAUACCGCAUUUAUUUGACGAAGGCUCCAAAGGAAGCCACGGCUAACUCUGUGCCAGCAGCCGCGGUAAUACAGAGGUGGCAAGCGUUGUUCGGAAUUAUUGGGCGUAAAGAGCACGUAGGUGGGUUUGUAAGUCAGAUGUGAAAGCCUUCUGUUCAACGGAAGAAUUGCAUCUGAAACUGCGAGUCUUGAGUGUAGGAGGGGAGAAUGGAACUUCUGGUGGAGCGGUGAAAUGCGUAGAUAUCAGAAGGAACGCCGGCGGCGAAAGCGAUUCUCUGGCCUAUUACUGACGCUCAGUGUGCGAAAGCUAGGGGAGCAAACGGGAUUAGAUACCCCGGUAGUCCUAGCCGUAAACGAUGGGCACUAAGUAGAGGGAAUUACCGAUGUUCUCUCUGCCGUAGCUAACGCAUUAAGUGCCCCGCCUGGGGAGUACGGCCGCAAGGCUAAAACUCAAAAGAAUUGACGGGGGCUCGCACAAGCGGUGGAGCAUGUGGCUUAAUUCGAUGCAACGCGAAGAACCUUACCGGGGCUUGACAUGGUAGAAGUAGGAACCCGAAAGGGUAACGAACGGUAUCCAGUCCGUAACUAUCACAGGUGUUGCAUGGCUGUCGUCAGCUCGUGUCGUGAGACGUUGGGUUAAGUCCCCUAACGAGCGAAACCCUUGUUUUUAGUUACCAGCGGGUUGUGCCGGGUACUCUAGAAAGACUGCCGUCGUCAAGACGGAGGAAGGUGGGGAUGACGUCAAGUCAUCAUGGCCCUUAUGCCCCGGGCUGCACACGUGCUACAAUGGUCGGUACAAACGGA